GACGAACGCUGGCGGCGUGCUUAACACAUGCAAGUCGAACGGAAAGGCCCUGCUUUUGUGGGGUGCUCGAGUGGCGAACGGGUGAGUAACACGUGAGUAACCUGCCCUUGACUUUGGGAUAACUUCAGGAAACUGGGGCUAAUACCGGAUAGGAGCUCCUGCUGCAUGGUGGGGGUUGGAGAGUUUCGGCGGUUGGGGAUGGACUCGCGGCUUAUCAGCUUGUUGGUGGGGUAGUGGCUUACCAAGGCUUUGACGGGUAGCCGGCCUGAGAGGGUGACCGGCCACAUUGGGACUGAGAUACGGCCCAGACCCCUACGGGAGGCAGCAGUGGGGAAUAUUGCACAAUGGGCGGAAGCCUGAUGCAGCAACGCCGCGUGCGGGAUGACGGCCUUCGGGUUGUAAACCGCUUUCGCCUGUGACGAAGCGUGAGUGACGGUAAUGGGUAAAGAAGCACCGGCUAACUACGUG
RNAcentral lists this ribosomal RNA (468 nucleotides) under uncultured bacterium. RNAcentral describes it as "partial 16S ribosomal RNA". It matches the Rfam family "Bacterial small subunit ribosomal RNA", at positions 28 to 507 of the family's 1533-position model. The record is from RNAcentral.